This 528-nucleotide long non-coding RNA is filed under the name Papio anubis (olive baboon). RNAcentral describes it as "lncRNA (ENSPANG00000043522.1)". The record is from RNAcentral. Lineage: Eukaryota; Metazoa; Chordata; Mammalia; Primates; Cercopithecidae.
AUGGAGGCACUGCUUUGCAUUGUCCAGUGGCAAAGAGUCAUGGUCCUUUACACGACAAGUUCCUUACGUUUGCCACUGCGUAUAACUCGGGAGAACUCUAACAACCUCCCGGGAGCUGCUGAUCUCCACGUUUCUGAGACACAUGCGCGCCACAGCAGUGGUGCUGACAGGACGUGCUGCAGCCUCCAGUGCCACCCUGAGCACCCCCCUCACAAAGCUGAGAUGAGUUUCUCUCCUCCUUCCUGUCCCACCAGAGGCAAGGUCAAGAACUUUCUGCUGAUUUACAAGAGCCCAUGUCACUUCUGCACUUCAGUAAACCCGGACGGGGACUCGUCGGCAAAGGAAGCAGAUGGUGUCCGGCGUCUGGCUUCACUUGGAGUCAAUGCCAGGGACUCCCUGCAGAUUUACAGGCGCCCCAGUCCGUUCUCCAGUACUGUUCACCCGGAAGGGGGUUCGACGGCACGGGUAAGUUGCAGUCACGAGUGCUGUACCCCGAGGACAGGGCCGUGUGGAGAAUGUGUGGUCUGA